AGCUCCAAUAGCGUAUACUAAAGUUGUUGCAGUUAAAAAGCUCGUAGUUGGAUUUCUGGUCGUGAGCCCCGGUCCGCCCCGCGAGGGGUGUUUGCACCAGGGGCUGGCAGCCUUUCUCGAGGAAAGCGCUCUCUGGCAUUCAGUUGUCGGGGGGCGAGGUCCUCGUCAUUUACUGUGAGCAAAAUAGAGUGUUCAAAGCAGGCUUAGGCCGUUGAAUACAUUAGCAUGGAAUAAUAAGAUAAGACCUUGGUCUAUUUUGUUGGUUUGCACUCCAAGGUAAUGAUUAAUAGGGAUAGUUGGGGGUAUUCGUAUUCAAUUGUCAGAGGUGAAAUUCUUGGAUUUAUGGAAGACGAACUACUGCGAAAGCAUUUACCAAGGAUGUUUUCA
This 387-nucleotide ribosomal RNA is filed under the name uncultured eukaryote. Its description in RNAcentral is "SSU rRNA". It matches the Rfam family "Eukaryotic small subunit ribosomal RNA", at positions 587 to 972 of the family's 1831-position model. The record is from RNAcentral.